AUUGAACGCUGGCGGCAUGCCUUACACAUGCAAGUCGAACGGUAACAGGUCUUCGGAUGCUGACGAGUGGCGAACGGGUGAGUAAUACAUCGGAACGUGCCUAGUAGUGGGGGAUAACUACUCGAAAGAGUGGCUAAUACCGCAUGAGAUCUACGGAUGAAAGCAGGGGAUCGAAAGACCUUGUGCUACUAGAGCGGUCGAUGGGAGGUUAGGUAGUUGGUGGGAUAAAAGCUCACCAAGCCGACGAUCUGUAGCUGGUCUGAGAGGACGAUCAGCCACACUGGGACUGAGAAACGGCCCAGACUCCUACGGGAGGCAGUAGUGGGGAAUUUUGGACAAUGGGCGCAAGCCUGAUCCAGCAAUGCCGCGUGCAGGAUGAAGGCCCUCGGGUUGUAAACUGCUUUUGUACGGAACGAAAAGCCCCGGGUUAAUACCCUGGGGUCAUGACGGUACCGUAAGAAUAAGCACCGGCUAACUACGUGCCAGCAGCCGCAGUAA
Molecule: ribosomal RNA, 498 nt
Filed under: uncultured bacterium
Lineage: Bacteria
Description: partial 16S ribosomal RNA
Rfam family: Bacterial small subunit ribosomal RNA
Source: RNAcentral